GGGGAUGUAGCUCAGUGCUGGAGCACUUGUCUGGUAGGCACGAGGCCUAGGUUCCGUCCCAGCACCCCCC
Molecule: transfer RNA, 70 nt
Filed under: Heterocephalus glaber (naked mole-rat)
Lineage: Eukaryota; Metazoa; Chordata; Mammalia; Rodentia; Bathyergidae
Rfam family: tRNA
About the family: Transfer RNA (tRNA) molecules are approximately 80 nucleotides in length. Their secondary structure includes four short double-helical elements and three loops (D, anti-codon, and T loops).
Source: Rfam by way of RNAcentral